AAAUUGAAGAGUUUGAUCAUGGCUCAGAUUGAACGCUGGCGGCAGGCCUAACACAUGCAAGUCGAACGGUAACAGAAAGCAGCUUGCUGCUUUGCUGACGAGUGGCGGACGGGUGAGUAAUGUCUGGGAAACUGCCUGAUGGAGGGGGAUAACUACUGGAAACGGUAGCUAAUACCGCAUAACGUCGCAAGACCAAAGAGGGGGACCUUCGGGCCUCUUGCCAUC
RNAcentral lists this ribosomal RNA (225 nucleotides) under Escherichia coli. RNAcentral's name for it is "partial 16S ribosomal RNA". It matches the Rfam family "Bacterial small subunit ribosomal RNA", at positions 1 to 222 of the family's 1533-position model. The record is from RNAcentral. Lineage: Bacteria; Pseudomonadati; Pseudomonadota; Gammaproteobacteria; Enterobacterales; Enterobacteriaceae.